This 1047-nucleotide ribosomal RNA is filed under the name uncultured bacterium. Its description in RNAcentral is "bacterial SSU rRNA". It matches the Rfam family "Bacterial small subunit ribosomal RNA", at positions 462 to 1533 of the family's 1533-position model. The record is from RNAcentral.
AAGAGAUCUGACAUUACUUGAGGAAUAAGCAUCGGCUAACCCUGUGCCAGCAGCCGCGGUAAUACAGGGGAUGCAAGUGUUAUUCGGAAUCAUUGGGCGUAAAGCGUUUGUAGGUGGACCUGUAAGUCUUUUGUUAAAUCUUUGGGCUCAACCUAAAAUGCGCAAACGAAACUGCUUGUCUUGAGUCAGAUAGAGGUAAAGGGAAUUUCCAGUGGAGCGGUGAAAUGCGUAGAUAUUGGAAGGAACACCAGCGGCGAAGGCACUUUACUGGGUCUGUACUGACACUGAGAGACGAAAGCUAGGGGAGCAAACAGGAUUAGAUACCCUGGUAGUCCUAGCUGUAAACGAUGGGUAUUAGAUAUUGGCCAUUGGAUGGUCAGUGUCGAAGCUAACGCGUUAAAUACCCCGCCUGGGAAGUAUGCUCGCAAGGGUGAAACUCAAAGGAAUUGACGGGGGCCCGCACAAGCGGUGGAGCAUGUGGUUUAAUUCGAUGCAACACGAAGAACCUUACCAGGGCUUGACAUGAAGAGAAGUUUUUUGAAAGAAAAAUGUGCUACGGCCUCUUACACAGGUGGUGCAUGGCUGUCGUCAGCUCGUGUCGUGAGAUGUUGGGUUAAGUCCCGCAACGAGCGCAACCCUUGUUUCUAGUUAAGAUUCUAGAAAGACUGCCAAUUAUAAAUUGGAGGAAGGUGAGGAUAACGUCAAGUCAUCAUGCCCCUUAUGCCCUGGGCUACACACGUGCUACAAUGGAUAUGACAAAAAGGUGCAAGUUUGCGAAAAUGAGCAAGUCUCUAAACAUAUUCUUAGUUCGGAUUGCAGGCUGCAACUCGCCUGCAUGAAGGUGGAAUCGCUAGUAAUCGCAGGUCAGCUAUACUGCGGUGAAUCCGUUCCCGGGCCUUGUACACACCGCCCGUCACACCAUGGGAGCUGGUUACACUCUAAAACAUUCUCCUAACCAAUUUGGAGGGAAGUGGCUAAAGUGGGAUUGGUGACUAAGGUGAAGUCGUAACAAGGUAGCCGAAUCUCUGAAGAUCCGCGCACCCUCCC